GACGAACGCUGGCGGCGUGCUUAACACAUGCAAGUCGAGCGGUAAGGCCUUUCGGGGUACACGAGCGGCGAACGGGUGAGUAACACGUGGGUGAUCUGCUCUGCACUUCGGGAUAAGCCUGGGAAACUGGGUCUAAUACCGGAUAUGACCUCCUAUCGCAUGGUGGGUGGUGGAAAGAUUUAUCGGUGCAGGAUGGGCCCGCGGCCUAUCAGCUUGUUGGUGGGGUAAUGGCCUACCAAGGCGACGACGGGUAGCCGACCUGAGAGGGUGACCGGCCACACUGGGACUGAGACACGGCCCAGACUCCUACGGGAGGCAGCAGUGGGGAAUAUUGCACAAUGGGCGAAAGCCCGAUGCAGCGACGCCGCGUGGGGGAUGACGGCCUUCGGGUUGUAAACCUCUUGCAGCAGGGACGAAGCGCAAGUGACGGUACCUGCAGAAGAAGCACCGGCUAACUACGUG
RNAcentral lists this ribosomal RNA (462 nucleotides) under uncultured bacterium. Its description in RNAcentral is "partial 16S ribosomal RNA". It matches the Rfam family "Bacterial small subunit ribosomal RNA", at positions 28 to 507 of the family's 1533-position model. The record is from RNAcentral.